GCUGAUUGGUCGCUAUUUAGCGACUAAUUAUUUUAGUCGCUAAAUAUGGUCGCUAAAUAUCCCCGCCCAAAAAGUUGUCGCAAUUUCGUCGCAAAUAUGGUCGCUAAUAACUCGCGCCAUUAAUUCCCGCUAAAUUAGCGACCAUUUUAUAUUUGGUCGCUAAAUAGCGACCAAUUAACAACCAAAAAUUGGUCGUUAAGCUUUUUGUUAAAUAAAAAUAUUAUUUCAUUCAUUCAGUCGCAGAAUG
Molecule: long non-coding RNA, 247 nt
Filed under: Manihot esculenta (cassava)
Lineage: Eukaryota; Viridiplantae; Streptophyta; Magnoliopsida; Malpighiales; Euphorbiaceae
Description: long non-coding RNA (MESC_LNC007962)
Source: RNAcentral